RNAcentral lists this transfer RNA (87 nucleotides) under bacterium. Its description in RNAcentral is "tRNA-Ser". It matches the Rfam family "tRNA". From Rfam's summary of the family: Transfer RNA (tRNA) molecules are approximately 80 nucleotides in length. Their secondary structure includes four short double-helical elements and three loops (D, anti-codon, and T loops). The record is from RNAcentral. RNAcentral also lists the same sequence under 4 other names.
GGAGAGGUGGCCGAGCGGCUGAAGGCACAGGUUUGCUAAACCUGCGUAGGGGCAACUCUACCGAGGGUUCGAAUCCCUCCCUCUCCG